CACCGGCAGCUCGAGUGGUAGCUGUUUUUAUUGGGCCUAAAGCGUUCGUAGCCGGUUUGAUAAGUCUUUGGUGAAAGCUUGUAGCUUAACUAUAGGAAUUGCUGGAGAUACUAUCAGACUUGAAGUCGGGAGAGGUUAGAGGUACUACCGGGGUAGGGGUGAAAUCCUAUAAUCCUGGGAGGACCACCUGUGGCGAAGGCGUCUAACUGGAACGAUCUUGACGGUGAGUAACGAAAGCCAGGGGCGCGAACCGGAUUAGAUACCCGGGUAGUCCUGGCUGUAAACGAUGUGGACUUGGUGUUGGAAUGGCCUCGAGUUGUUCCGGUGCCGAAGGGAAGCUGUUAAGUCCACCGCCUGGGAAGUACGGUCGCAAGAUUGAAACUUAAAGGAAUUGGCGGGGGAGCACCACAACGCGUGGAGCCUGCGGUUUAAUUGGAUUCAACGCCGGA
Molecule: ribosomal RNA, 449 nt
Filed under: uncultured archaeon
Lineage: Archaea
Description: bacterial SSU rRNA
Rfam family: Archaeal small subunit ribosomal RNA
Source: RNAcentral